Molecule: ribosomal RNA, 513 nt
Filed under: uncultured bacterium
Lineage: Bacteria
Description: partial 16S ribosomal RNA
Rfam family: Bacterial small subunit ribosomal RNA
Source: RNAcentral
GAUGAACGCUGGCGGCGUGUCUAAUACAUGCAAGUCGAGCGAACAGACGAGGAGCUUGCUCCUUUGAUGUUAGCGGCGGACGGGUGAGUAACACGUAGGUAACCUACCUAUAAGACUGGGAUAACUUCGGGAAACCGGAGCUAAUACCGGAUAAUAUUUCGAACCGCAUGGUUCGAUAGUGAAAGAUGGCUUUGCUAUCACUUAUAGAUGGACCUGCGCCGUAUUAGCUAGUUGGUAAGGUAACGGCUUACCAAGGCAACGAUACGUAGCCGACCUGAGAGGGUGAUCGGCCACACUGGAACUGAGACACGGUCCAGACUCCUACGGGGGGCAGAAGUAGGGAAUCUUCCGCAAUGGGCGAAAGCCUGACGGAGCAACGCCGCGUGAGUGAUGAAGGUCUUCGGAUCGUAAAACUCUGUUAUUAGGGAAGAACAAACGUGUAAGUAACUGUGCACGUCUUGACGGUACCUGAGGAGGAAGCCACGGCUAACUACGUGCCAGCCGCCGCGGUAA